Molecule: ribosomal RNA, 253 nt
Filed under: uncultured bacterium
Lineage: Bacteria
Description: partial 16S ribosomal RNA
Rfam family: Bacterial small subunit ribosomal RNA
Source: RNAcentral
UACGUAGGGGGCAAGCGUUGUCCGGAAUCAUUGGGCGUAACGAGCGUGUAGGCGGCCAGAAAAGUCCGCUGUGAAAACUCGAGGCUCAACUUCGAGCUGUCGGUGGAAACUUUCUGGCUAGAGUCCGGAAGAGGAGAAUGGAAUUCCUGGUGUAGCGGUGAAAUGCGCAGAUAUCAGGAAGAACACCCGUGGCGAAGGCGGUUCUCUGGGACGGUACUGACGCUGAGACGCGAAAGCGUGGGGAGCGAACAGG